AGAGAUAAUGUACAACUGAAAUUUCACAAUGACAUAAACUAUUAUGAACUCAAUUUAAAAAAAAAAGGAAAGUGAGGAAGAGUGUGGCAUUUCAUUAUUCUUUGUGUAAAAACAAGGUGAUGGGUAGCCUGCCUGGUGGUGCAGCAGUUAAGUUUGCAUGCUCCGAUUGGGCAACUUAGGGUUUGCUGGUUCAGAUCCUGGGCACGGACCUAUGCACGGCUUAGCAAGCCAUCCUGUGGCGGUGUCCCAUAUACAAAAUGUAGGAAGACUGGCAUGGAUGUUAGCUCAGGGCCAAUCUUCCUCAGCAAAAAAAGAGGAGGAUCAGUGGUGGAUGUUAGUUCAGGGCUAAUUUUCCUCAAAACCAAAAAAUAGGGUGAUUGGGAAGGAAUACAAUUAAAUAUACACAUAUGUGUUUAGAUAUGCGUAGAAAGGUCCUUCAGGAAGGAAGUCACAAGAAACAGGUAACAGUGGGUCCUGUAGGAGGAAAAAUGGGCAAAUGGAGAACAAGGUGGGCAGAAAUCUUUCCACUGAAUAUCCUUCGAAUCGUUUAAAUACUGUACCAUGUAAAUGUGUUAUCUAUUAAAGGUUAAAAACUAAAAUUAAUUAUAAAGACUAUGAGGCAACAUGGGAAAAUGCUUAUAUGUGGGAAAAAAGAUUAAAAACUAUGCAGUAGGAUUAUAACUAUGUAAAAUAAAUGCAUGUUAAAAUUUCUAACUGUGGAAGGAAUAUUCUAGAUAACUUUUACUCCUUUUUUGUAAUUUUUUCCAGAAAUUUCUAUAAUAGACAUAUAUUGCUUUUAUUACUAGAAAAAAAUCAGUGACAUACAAAAAUACUAGGGGAAUUGUAUACUCUGUUAAAUCUCAAUUAUGCGGGCUGGCCCUGUGGCCGAGUGGUUAAGUUCUCGUGCUCCACUGUGGCGCCCGGGGUGUUGCUGGUUCAGAUCCUGGGUGCGGACAUGGUACCACUCAUCAGGCCACGCUGAGGCGGCGUCCCACAUGCCACAACUAGAAGGACUCACAACUGAAAUAUACAACUUUGUACUGGGGGGAUCUGGGGAGAAAAAGCAGAAAAAAAUGAUUGGCAACUGUUGUUAGCUCAGGUGCCAAUCUUUAAAAAAAAAAAAAUCUCAAUUAUAAAAACAAGGUAAUGAAAAAGAUUGGAAGGAAAUACACAAAAUGUUCGCAAUAGUUGUCUCUGGGUAUAAGAUAUUAGGUAACUUUUAUUUUAUUUAAAAACAUUUUUAUUAUUAUUUUUUGGCAAGGAAGAUUGUCCCUGAGCUAACAUCUGUUGCCAACCUUCCUCCUUUUUUUGCUCCCCAAAGCACCACGCAUGGUUGUAAGUCAUUCUAGUUCUUCUAUGUGGGAUGCCACCACAGCAUGGCUUGACGAGCAGUGUGUACGUCCACAUCCAGGAUCUGAACCGGCGAACCCUGGGCUGCUGAAGCCAAGCGUGCGAACUUAACCACUCAGCCAUGGGGCCAGCCACAGCAGGAAUGAAGGCCUCACUGCUGCAGCAUGGGACUCCACUCCCCAAAGUCCUGCCGCUUGGUGCCAGAGAGCUGGAGCUGCCUCACUGCUUGUUAUGCAUUCCCAGUAAAAAGGCCCAAGGGGUGGCUCUGGAUGGUGGGAGACUGCUGCUGGGGACAUGUUGCUGGGGAGAGCGAGCACAACAUCAGAGCACCCUUGGGCCCUUACCAUGUCUUGGUCGGCAAACAUUUACGGAGCCGGACUGCUGGGUUUGGUGCUGAGAGAAUGUAGGGUAACCAGCCCUCCCUGGGCUCCAGCCUCCUGCGGCAUUCUAAGGUGAGGGUGCUUCAAGCAGAGACGGAAGGGGAGUCCUCAAGGAGGUCUGAGCAGAGGCCUGGCAAGACCAGGCCUGUAGGCAGAGACCGACCUCACCAAUGGACAAAAUUAGGCCUGUCUAGAAUCUGGCCUGCCCAAGGGUUGAACCCUCGCUGGUCCUCACCUGCCUUGCCACGGUGAGCACAGGUCUUCAGUGGAAGAACACUGCCAGGGAUGACAAAGCAAACUCCCAACAAAGGUUUUGGUCAUCAAACUCAAGACACCUGGGUUCUGAUUCUAGGUCUGCCAUUAACCAGCUUUGGGACCUUGAACAAGUGAGUGCACCUUUAUGAGCCUCAGUCUCAUCUAUAAAAUGGGGAGAAUCAUCAUAAUAACGAAUAGUGCCUGCCCUGACUACCUCCAAGAAUUUUUGUGAGGAUCAGGUGACAUAACGUACAUGAAAGCACUUUAAAAAUAUAAAGGAUGUCAGCUGAUGAAUAGAUAAACAAAAUGUGGCACAUCAAUAUGAUGGAAUAUUAUUCAGUCUUAAAAAGGAAUGAAGUACUGACACAUGACAACGUGGCUGAAUCUUGAAAACAUUAUGCUAAAUGCAAGAAGCCAGACACAGAAGGCCACAUAGUGUAUGAUUCCAUUUAUAUGAAAUAUCCAGAAUAGGCAAAUCUACAGAGACAAAAAGCAGAUUGAUGGUUGCCAGUCGCUGGGAGGAGGGAGAAAUGGGGAGUGAGCACUUAGUGGGCACAGGGUUUCCUUUUGAGGUCAUGGAAACGUUCAGGAACUCAACUACGGUGAUGGUUGCCCAACACUGGGAAUGCACUAAAUGCCACUGCAGUGUCU
Molecule: long non-coding RNA, 2636 nt
Filed under: Equus caballus (horse)
Lineage: Eukaryota; Metazoa; Chordata; Mammalia; Perissodactyla; Equidae
Description: lncRNA (ENSECAG00000052768.1)
Source: RNAcentral